RNAcentral lists this ribosomal RNA (331 nucleotides) under Dipsastraea sp. RNAcentral's name for it is "partial small subunit ribosomal RNA". It matches the Rfam family "Bacterial small subunit ribosomal RNA", at positions 593 to 998 of the family's 1533-position model. The record is from RNAcentral. Lineage: Eukaryota; Metazoa; Cnidaria; Anthozoa; Scleractinia; Merulinidae.
CUUAAGGGUUUGUUUUUUAGAAAAAGCAGAAAGCGUGUAGAGGUAAAACAUUUAAAAUAAAUAGAAUUUUUUUAGUAAUAGUGCAAUAUUAAAAGAAGAAAAAGAAUUUUUUAUGUGAAGACAAUUUAUUUUUUUCUUUAACACGAAGGUUCUGGGAGCGAACAGGAUUAGAGACCCUGGUAGUCGAUACAGUAAAAGAAAGUCGCUUGAGUAGUACGGUCGCAAGAUUAAAAUUCAAAAAACUUGGCUGUUCAUUGUUAUUUAGAGGAGCGUGUUGCUUAAUUCGAUAAUCCGCGAGUUACCUUACCAAAACUAGCUUUUACAGGUGUUG